Molecule: non-coding RNA, 21 nt
Filed under: Rattus norvegicus (Norway rat)
Lineage: Eukaryota; Metazoa; Chordata; Mammalia; Rodentia; Muridae
Source: RNAcentral
CAUGGUGUCUUGCUAGUUCUU